This 462-nucleotide ribosomal RNA is filed under the name uncultured bacterium. RNAcentral describes it as "partial 16S ribosomal RNA". It matches the Rfam family "Bacterial small subunit ribosomal RNA", at positions 29 to 507 of the family's 1533-position model. The record is from RNAcentral.
AGUGAACGCUGGCGGCGUGCCUAAUACAUGCAAGUCGAACGGAGAUUAAGUAGCUUGCUAUUUACUCUUAGUGGCGCACGGGUGAGUAAUAUAUAGCUAACUUGCCCAUUACUAAGGGACAACAGUUGGAAACGACUGCUAAUACCUUAUACUCCGUAUCUAUAUAAGUAGAUACGGGAAAGUUUUUCGGUAAUGGAUAGGGCUAUAUCGUAUCAGCUAGUUGGUAAGGUAAUGGCUUACCAAGGCUAUGACGCGUAACUGGUCUGAGAGGAUGAUCAGUCACACGGGAACUGAGACACGGUCCAGACUCCUACGGGAGGCAGCAGUAGGGAAUAUUGCUCAAUGGGGGAAACCCUGAAGCAGCAACGCCGCGUGGAGGAUGACACUUUUCGGAGCGUAAACUCCUUUUCUUGGGAAAGAAUUAUGACGGUACCCAAGGAAUAAGCACCGGCUAACUCCGUG